RNAcentral lists this ribosomal RNA (494 nucleotides) under uncultured bacterium. Its description in RNAcentral is "partial 16S ribosomal RNA". It matches the Rfam family "Bacterial small subunit ribosomal RNA", at positions 28 to 507 of the family's 1533-position model. The record is from RNAcentral.
GAUGAACGCUGGCGGCGUGCCUAAUACAUGCAAGUCGAGCGAACAGAUGAGGAGCUUGCUCCUCUGACGUUAGCGGCGGACGGGUGAGUAACACGUGGAUAACCUACCUAUAAGACUGGGAUAACUUCGGGAAACCGGAGCUAAUACCGGAUAAUAUAUUGAACCGCAUGGUUCAAUAGUGAAAGACGGUUUUGCUGUCACUUAUAGAUGGAUCCGCGCCGCAUUAGCUAGUUGGUAAGGUAACGGCUUACCAAGGCAACGAUGCGUAGCCGACCUGAGAGGGUGAUCGGCCACACUGGAACUGAGACACGGUCCAGACUCCUACGGGAGGCAGUAGGGAAUCUUCCGCAAUGGGCGAAAGCCUGACGGAGCAACGCCGCGUGAGUGAUGAAGGUCUUCGGAUCGUAAAACUCUGUUAUUAGGGAAGAACAAAUGUGUAAGUAACUAUGCACGUCUUGACGGUACCUAAUCAGAAAGCCACGGCUAACUACGUG